RNAcentral lists this ribosomal RNA (468 nucleotides) under uncultured bacterium. RNAcentral's name for it is "partial 16S ribosomal RNA". It matches the Rfam family "Bacterial small subunit ribosomal RNA", at positions 28 to 507 of the family's 1533-position model. The record is from RNAcentral.
GACGAACGCUGGCGGCGUGCUUAACACAUGCAAGUCGAACGGAAAGGCCCUUUCUUUGUGGGUUGCUCGAGUGGCGAACGGGUGAGUAACACGUGAGUAACCUGCCCCUCACUUUGGGGCAACUUCAGGUAACUGUGGUAAAUACUGGAUAGGAGCUCCUGCUGCAUGGUGGGGGUGGGUAAGCUUCGGCGGUUGGGGAUGGACCCGCGGCUUAUCAGGUUGUGGGGGGGGUAGUGGCUUACAACGGCUGUGACGGGUAGCCGGCCUGGGGGGGUGACCGGCAACAUUGGGACUGGGAUCCGGCCCGGACUCCUACGGGAGGCAGCAGUGGGGAAUAUUGCACAAUGGGCGGAAGCCUGAUGCAGCAACGCCGCGUGCGGGAUGACGGCCUUCGGGUGGUAACCCGCUUUCGCCUGUGACGAAGCGUGAGUGACGGUAAUGGGUGAAGAAGCACCGGCUAACUACGUG